RNAcentral lists this transfer RNA (71 nucleotides) under Chlamydoselachus anguineus (frilled shark). RNAcentral describes it as "tRNA-Ser". It matches the Rfam family "tRNA". Rfam says of the family: Transfer RNA (tRNA) molecules are approximately 80 nucleotides in length. Their secondary structure includes four short double-helical elements and three loops (D, anti-codon, and T loops). Lineage: Eukaryota; Metazoa; Chordata; Chondrichthyes; Hexanchiformes; Chlamydoselachidae. The record is from RNAcentral.
AAGAAAGUGACAGAGUGGUGAUGUGGUUGGCUUGAAACCAACAUAUGGGGGUUCAAUUCCUUCCUUUCUUG